CAGGGGAUAAUGGGGGGAAAAUGGGAGACACCUGGUGGGGGGUGGAAACAAGCACAAGACAAGUGAAACUGACCGGGUUGUGACAGAACUAAUAUCAUCGGCCGAUUUGUUUUUUUUAAAUAAACAUUUUCUUUAAUUAUUUAAUUUAUUUUAAUUUAUUUAAUUUAUUUUUUUUUUAGAUUUUUUUUUUAGACUAAUUCACUACCUGAGUAAGAGGAACAGCAAAACACAUUAGCUAGAUUGCUAACUCUAAACAUAAUAGGCCCAGCCACUUCUGGUGGCCAUGUAUUAAUCUAACAGUAUGUACAAUGUCCUAUAAAGGAUUUGCAGGUGUUGCCUAGGCUACUAACCAAUGAGGUCUGCACUCGCUAUACUGAUGAAAAUUUUGCUCACACUGUAUCACAAAGCCAGAUCAAAUAUUUUGGUUUUAAAACAGUUGCUAUACAGCUCAGUAUUAAGAAAUAACAAUUAUACCUAAAUUAGGCUUAGAAUCUCCUCAAAAGUGACAACAGUAGUUGCUUCCAAAGCUAUUUUUUUGUUGUUGUUGAAAUGUUACAGCCUACAAUCAGAUGUUUUUGUUGUUGUUGAAAUGUUACAGCCUACAAUCAGAUUUUUUUGUUGUUAUCCUGGAGUGCAAGGAGAGAGGGAGUGAGUGGCUAGCUCAUCACAGUAGCAGGUCCCAGCAAAACAGGCAUAGGGACAGGCCUGAUACUUUUAUUACAGGAGCCAUGAGGAUAGUGCACAUUACUCUUUGACCAAAUCAUGGCUUUAGUAGCAUGAAAAAAAUAGGACGUUGGGAGUGAGGUAGAAUGUGCAGCUCGCAUUGAUGCGACUAUUUACACUUUUUACUCGCACAGCCAAAUCAAAGGGUCGCAAAAUGUGGGUAAAUGGUCGCAGUCUGGAGACCUGUUACACCAAUGAUAGGUGCUUCAUGCCAUCUGGCUAUUAGGCCCAUUCUGUAAAUACUUAUGUCUGUGCUGUCAGCAUGGUAUGGUAUCACAGAAGUAUACUGUACAAAGGCGAUGUGCCUCACUAAAUCUGGUUAGACACCAAUGUUGGUCAGUGUAUCCCUCGUUUCCUUCCAAACUUCUGACCUAUCUUUUCUCCAUUUCCUGAACUGGCUGUCCUCAUGGCUUCCUGUCUUGGUAAAAUGUGACAGGAAGUCCAGUCAAGUGGUCAUUGGCUGAAUGCCAAACCAGUCCCUUUCCUUCGUCCCUCAAAUUGUGUGUUCAUGCGCGCCUCCGCCAUAUGCACAAGUGCAUGUUUCAAAGCUGAGGAUAUGAAAAUGAUUGAGGGUGUAGGUGCCAAUUCGACCCUCCGACAGCCACUUUGGCCCAGCCAGGCUUAGGUUGCAGGCUUCAGAGUGAAGUGGUAUCCCAACACAACACUGCAACAUAUUUGGAAUUAGCUAAUUUCGUUAAAAUAAUUAUGCAGAGGCGUGCCACGUGCAUUUGUUUGUGUCUGAUUUUGGGACUCAUGUAACAAAUGAUACCUACCCUAUUAAAUGUCCAGUUAUUAUUAAAGGUCACAUCUUGUAAAACAACAGUGGGGAUUUGUUAAUAAAACACAUUCAAGUCAUGAGUGUGUCCUGAAGUUGAUGGGUUUAGUCACUGCUCUGGAAGUUUUGCAAGUGUGACAAGGACCUCUGAGCGAGUUGAUAAGGACAAGGGGCUGGUUCAGGAUUGGGCCCAAAUCCUUUUCAAGGCCUUGCAUCCUCCUAUAUGGUCUGAGGUUGAAACCAGUUCAUGAAUGUGGUAAUGGACUGGGAUGACACUGGCCUGAUACUCAAAAUGCAGUCAAAUGUGUCAAGUGUAAAUUGGUGCUUUAUCUAUUCUGCAAGUGUCCUCGCCCUUUUCUAAAACUGGAUUAAGAGAUUUAUAAGACUUGGAGAGUGCAAUGGUUUUCCAAUCCAAAGAUGGAUUUUCAAAUUCUAGUUAGAUAGAUAGAUACUUUUCAAUGGAAAUGUAUAGUUUUUAUAAUUUUGGCUGUCAUUAUGCCGGGAGCAGCACAGUAUCAGCCGCUGAGCAGCGGCCAUCUACUUCCAUCAUCAUAUAAAUAAACUGAAAUGUAAUAAUCCUUCAAAAAACUCAAACAUUCAUGUCGAACAAAACACCUGUCAAAACACAGACUUAAACAAGCCCUUUGGUAGUGUUUGGACUUCCUGUCCAAAUCUUUGAAGCAUUCCUUUUUUAAUUUAAAUAGAAAAUUAAAUAUUUGCAAUGACAGAUGCACUGUCUCUUCAAUCAACAUGGACCUGGUGACAGUACAGCAUCAUGAACUAAUCAAAUAUAAAUACCUACCCUACACUCUUAUUUAGUGCUAUUAGAAUAGGCGUUAAUUAUGCAGUUAUUUGUUUCACAGAAAAUUACGGAGCUUUCUAAGUAAUCAGGUGUUGCCACAGAUGUUCUAACGGUUUCAUAAUAGUCUUGAACAACUUCAUAUUCUGGUCAUCUCUACUCCAACAAUGCUAAUAUGGAAGGACUUGGCAUGCUAACAUGAUUUGGUCCUGUCUGCCAUCACUAUUCUCUGCCUUCUUCAUCUCUUCAACAUUGGUCCUUCUCGAUGUUUUUCUUGGCCGGCCCUGAUAAUAACACUUCAACAAUUACCGUUUGGGUCAUGCAAAAUCAAUCAUUUGUCUUCAUCAUUGUUAAUUGACUUAAUUGUAUGAGAAAUGAAACAGAAAUUAUUUAGGCGAUCUCGUAACAAAAAACCCUAUGAUGCAUUCCCAUUUAUUGAAAUCAGCCUAUUUUUGUAAAUCACUGUGGUGUUGAAUAUCCUAACAGACUGCAGAUAUUUCAUUUGUUUGUGUUUCCUGCUCGUCGACUAUACAGACAUUCACACCAAAUGAGCUCAAUUUGCCAGAUGUCUGUUGUGCCUAAUUUUCAUAUUGUGGUUAAUGGUGCAUUCACUGAACCAGAUGACAGAUUUUCAACGGAAUGGCCUGAGGAGAAAGGAACGACUACCAACAGAACAGGGCUGUGGCAGGUAACCUAGUGAGGCAAGCCAGGAACUGGAAGUUCAAAUCUAAGGUCAGAUGAGCAAAUGUGGUGGGGAGUAAGCCGGCCAUCGGAGAGUUGCUGUCAUCAGUAUCCUAGUUAGAGGCCAUAUCAUACCAUUGUGCCCUUGAGAACGGUACUUAAUCCACAAAAUGAUCAAGGGUUUAUGUUUCUGGGGGUAGGGAUGAAAGCAAAAAGAUGCAUGCAAAUAUUUGUAUUUAUCGUUCUACCUUGCUUAUAUUCCCGAGGGACGGAGAUAGGUAAACUAUUCGCUAUGGCUACUGAACUGAAUGGGCUGAUGCCAUGUCAUUUGGCAACCUGUCCCAAAAGCUCACGAAAAGUAGGCCUUGAAUGCAUCUCAAGCCUUUAACACCUUUCUUUGUUUUCAUCCUCAGGUUUGCUGUUAAAGUCAUGACAUUUUUCACAUGCACAGUUCCGAUUCAACCUGAGAAAGUCAUUGGUAUUCUCAAAUGGUGUGUGGAAAUGUGGCACUGGUGUUUCUUUGAAGUGUUAUCACUGGCAGCUGCUGGUGGAGUUGGAAUAGAAUCAUUAUGCUAAUUUGGUCCUGUCCCUAUCUGAGGGAAAUGGAAGAAAGUAUCACUGUGGAUGGAAUAAUGAUUUUUUUUGCUGUGAGAAUAAACACUUUGUGUAAUAAUUAAAC
This is a long non-coding RNA of Oncorhynchus tshawytscha (Chinook salmon), 3657 nucleotides long. The record is from Ensembl. NCBI's taxonomy places the organism in Eukaryota, Metazoa, Chordata, Actinopteri, Salmoniformes, Salmonidae.